CCUGGCUCAGGAUGAACGCUAGCGGCAGGCCUAAUACAUGCAAGUCAAGGGGUAGCAAUACACCGGCGGACGGGUGCGUAACGCGUACACAACGUACCUCAGAGGCGGGGGAUAGCAUUGGGAAACUGGUGGUAAUACCCCAUGGUGUUUGUUGAAUGGCAUCAUUUAACAACUAAAGAUUACACUCUGAGAUCGGUGUGCGUCUGAUUAGCUAGUUGGUGGGGUAACGGCCCACCAAGGCGACGAUCAGGUAGGGGGUGUGAGAGCAUGACCCCCCACACGGGUACUGAGACACGGACCCGACUCCUACGGGAGGCAGCAGUAAGGAAUAUUGGACAAUGGGCGGAAGCCUGAUCCAGCCAUGCCGCGUGUAGGACGAAUGCCCUCUGGGUUGUAAACUACUUUUAUUGGGGAAGAAACCCUCUUACGUGUAAGAGGCUGACGGUACCCAAGGAAUAAGGACCGGCUAACUCCGUG
This 477-nucleotide ribosomal RNA is filed under the name uncultured bacterium. RNAcentral describes it as "bacterial SSU rRNA". It matches the Rfam family "Bacterial small subunit ribosomal RNA", at positions 18 to 507 of the family's 1533-position model. The record is from RNAcentral.